GCGUAAAGGGCACGCAGGCGGUGACUUAAGUGAGGUGUGAAAGCCCCGGGCUUAACCUGGGAAUUGCAUUUCAUACUGGGUCGCUAGAGUACUUUAGGGAGGGGUAGAAUUCCACGUGUAGCGGUGAAAUGCGUAGAGAUGUGGAGGAAUACCGAAGGCGAAGGCAGCCCCUUGGGAAUGUACUGACGCUCAUGUGCGAAAGCGUGGGGAGCAAACAGGAUUAGAUACCCUGGUAGUCCACGCUGUAAACGAUGUCGAUUUGGGGGUUGAACUUUGUGUUUGGCGCCCGUAGCUAACGUGAUAAAUCGACCGCCUGGGGAGUACGGCCGCAAGGUUAAAACUCAAAUGAAUUGACGGGGGCCCGCACAAGCGGUGGAGCAUGUGGUUUAAUUCGAUGCAACGCGAAGAACCUUACCUACUCUUGACAUCCAGAGAACAUUC
RNAcentral lists this ribosomal RNA (441 nucleotides) under uncultured bacterium. RNAcentral's name for it is "bacterial SSU rRNA". It matches the Rfam family "Bacterial small subunit ribosomal RNA", at positions 558 to 1000 of the family's 1533-position model. The record is from RNAcentral.